GUUCUUAUAGUUGAAUAACAACGAUGAUUUUUCAUGUCAUUGGUCCUGGUUAAAGCCUAGGUGAGAAUG
RNAcentral lists this transfer RNA (69 nucleotides) under Inia geoffrensis (Amazon river dolphin). RNAcentral's name for it is "transfer RNA-Glu". It matches the Rfam family "tRNA". Rfam says of the family: Transfer RNA (tRNA) molecules are approximately 80 nucleotides in length. The record is from RNAcentral. Lineage: Eukaryota; Metazoa; Chordata; Mammalia; Artiodactyla; Iniidae.